UACGGAGGAUCCGAGCGUUAUCCGGAUUUAUUGGGUUUAAAGGGUGCGUAGGCGGAAAUGUAAGUCAGUGGUGAAAUCCUGCAGCUUAACUGUAGAAUAGCCGUUGAAACUGUGUUUCUUGAGUACAUUUGAGGUAGGCGGAAUGUGGUGUGUAGCGGCGAAAUGCAUAGAUAUACCACAGAACACCGAUUGCGAAGGCAGCUUACUAAACUGUCACUGACGCUGAUGCACGAAAGCGUGGGUAUCAAACAGGAUUAGAUA
Molecule: ribosomal RNA, 261 nt
Filed under: uncultured prokaryote
Description: partial 16S ribosomal RNA
Rfam family: Bacterial small subunit ribosomal RNA
Source: RNAcentral